Long non-coding RNA from Coregonus clupeaformis (lake whitefish), 382 nucleotides. RefSeq lists it as uncharacterized. The transcript is spliced from 3 exons. The record is from RefSeq and is a predicted model, not a curated record. Lineage: Eukaryota; Metazoa; Chordata; Actinopteri; Salmoniformes; Salmonidae.
UCCUCUCCUCUUUCUGUGUCUACUCCUUCUGCAGAACAACAGCUGCAGCUGAGACUCAGGUUCCUCUGAACAGGACUACCACCAGGGGAAGUGAGAGAAGAGAGAAGGAGGAAGGAGAUCUGUGUUAUGCCUCGUUGGAUAUCCGUCAGGGACAGAGGAGACCAAAGAAGAAGAAGAGAGUCCAGAACUCUGACUUCAGUACCUACACAGCCAUCAAUACCAGCAGAGUGUGAGACCUAUACCAUCCAUCAAUACCAGCAGAGUGAGAGAUCAAUACCAGCAGCUGGGAGGAAAAACAACAGUUUUUAUAUUUUUACGAGUUACUUAAUAUUUGGGGGGAUAUUUGUUUAACCUUUUAAAAUCAUUUCAUACAACUUUUGCC